This 331-nucleotide unclassified non-coding RNA is filed under the name soil metagenome. RNAcentral describes it as "partial contains 5.8S ribosomal RNA, internal transcribed spacer 2, and large subunit ribosomal RNA". The stretch from base 1 to 120 matches the Rfam family "5.8S ribosomal RNA", at positions 35 to 154 of the family's 154-position model. The record is from RNAcentral.
GAUGAAGAACGUAGUGAAAUGCGAUAAGUAAUGUGAAUUGCAGAAUUCAGUGAAUCAUCGAAUCUUUGAACGCACAUUGCGCCCCCUGGUAUUCCGGGGGGCAUGCCUGUUCGAGCGUCAUUUCACCACUCAAGCCUCGCUUGGUAUUGGGCAACGCGGUCCGCCGCGUGCCUCAAAUCGACCGGCUGGGUCUUCUGUCCCCUAAGCGUUGUGGAAACUAUUCGCUAAAGGGUGCUCGGGAGGCUACGCCGUAAAACAAACCCAUUUCUAAGGUUGACCUCGGAUCAGGUAGGGAUACCCGCUGAACUUAAGCAUAUCAAUAAGCGGAAGA